UACAGAGGUCUCAAGCGUUGUUCGGAUUCAUUGGGCGUAAAGGGUGCGUAGGUGGCGCGGUAAGUCGGGUGUGAAAUUUCGGAGCUUAACUCCGAAACUGCAUUCGAUACUGCCGUGCUUGAGGACUGGAGAGGAGACUGGAAUUUACGGUGUAGCAGUGAAAUGCGUAGAUAUCGUAAGGAGGACCAGUGGCGAAGGCGGGUCUCUGGACAGUUCCUGACACUGAGGCACGAAGGCCAGGGGAGCAAACGGG
Molecule: ribosomal RNA, 253 nt
Filed under: uncultured bacterium
Lineage: Bacteria
Description: partial 16S ribosomal RNA
Rfam family: Bacterial small subunit ribosomal RNA
Source: RNAcentral